UUGAACGCUGGCGGCAUGCCUUACACAUGCAAGUCGAACGGUAACAGGUCUUCGGAUGCUGACGAGUGGCGAACGGGUGAGUAAUACAUCGGAACGUGCCCGAUCGUGGGGGAUAACGCAGCGAAAGCUGUGCUAAUACCGCAUACGAUCUACGGAUGAAAGCGGGGGAUCGCAAGACCUCGCGCGAUAGGAGCGGCCGAUAUCGGAUUAGCUAGUUGGUGAGGUAAAGGCUCACCAAGGCGACGAUCCGUAGCUGGUCUGAGAGGACGACCAGCCACACUGGAACUGAGACACGGUCCAGACUCCUACGGGAGGCAGCAGUGGGGAAUUUUGGACAAUGGGCGCAAGCCUGAUCCAGCAAUGCCGCGUGCAGGAUGAAGGCCUUCGGGUUGUAAACUGCUUUUGUACGGAACGAAAAGACUCCUUCUAAUAAAGGGGGUUCAUGACGGUACCGUAAGAAUAAGCACCGGCUAACUACGU
RNAcentral lists this ribosomal RNA (480 nucleotides) under uncultured bacterium. Its description in RNAcentral is "bacterial SSU rRNA". It matches the Rfam family "Bacterial small subunit ribosomal RNA", at positions 30 to 506 of the family's 1533-position model. The record is from RNAcentral.